This is an unclassified non-coding RNA of Cercocebus atys (sooty mangabey), 106 nucleotides long. It matches the Rfam family "Y RNA". From Rfam's summary of the family: Y RNAs are components of the Ro ribonucleoprotein particle (Ro RNP), in association with Ro60 and La proteins. The Y RNAs and Ro60 and La proteins are well conserved, but the function of the Ro RNP is not known. NCBI's taxonomy places the organism in Eukaryota, Metazoa, Chordata, Mammalia, Primates, Cercopithecidae. The record is from Ensembl.
GGUUGAUCUGAAGGUAGCGAGUGAUCUCAAUGAAUUGUACAGUUACAGAUUGAACUCCUUGUUCUAUCCUUUCCCCCUUCUCACUACUGCAUUUGACCAGAUUUAA